This 430-nucleotide ribosomal RNA is filed under the name uncultured bacterium. RNAcentral's name for it is "bacterial SSU rRNA". It matches the Rfam family "Bacterial small subunit ribosomal RNA", at positions 612 to 1043 of the family's 1533-position model. The record is from RNAcentral.
ACCUGGGAAUGGCGUUUUGAACUGGCAGUCUAGAGUGCGUCAGAGGGGGGUGGAAUUCCACGUGUAGCAGUGAAAUGCGUAGAGAUGUGGAGGAGCACCGAUGGCGAAGGCAGCCCCCUGGGAUGACACUGACGCUCAUGUACGAAAGCGUGGGUAGCAAACAGGAUUAGAUACCCUGGUAGUCCACGCCCUAAACGAUGUCAACUGGUUGUUGGGGGAGUGAAAUCCCUUAGUAACGAAGCUAACGCGUGAAGUUGACCGCCUGGGGAGUACGGUCGCAAGAUUAAAACUCAAAGGAAUUGACGGGGGCCCGCACAAGCGGUGGAGCAUGUGGUUUAAUUCGAGGCAACGCGAAGAACCUUACCAGCCCUUGACUUCCCGAUCGGGGGACCAGAGAUGGACCUCUUCAAUUGGUCGGUGACAGGUGCUG